RNAcentral lists this ribosomal RNA (504 nucleotides) under uncultured bacterium. RNAcentral describes it as "partial 16S ribosomal RNA". It matches the Rfam family "Bacterial small subunit ribosomal RNA", at positions 30 to 523 of the family's 1533-position model. The record is from RNAcentral.
AUUGAACGCUGGCGGCAUGCCUUACACAUGCAAGUCGAACGGCAGCAUGGAGAGCUUGCUCUCUGAUGGCGAGUGGCGAACGGGUGAGUAAUGCAUCGGAACGUACCGUGUAAUGGGGGAUAACGUAGCGAAAGUUACGCUAAUACCGCAUACGACCUGAGGGUGAAAGCAGGGGAUCGCAAGACCUUGCGUUAUACGAGCGGCCGAUGUCAGAUUAGCUAGUUGGUGAGGUAAAGGCUCACCAAGGCGACGAUCUGUAGCGGGUCUGAGAGGAUGAUCCGCCACACUGGGACUGAGACACGGCCCAGACUCCUACGGGAGGCAGCAGUGGGGAAUUUUGGACAAUGGGGGCAACCCUGAUCCAGCCAUGCCGCGUGAGUGAAGAAGGCCUUCGGGUUGUAAAGCUCUUUCGGCCGGGAAGAAAUCGCACAGGCUAAUACUCUGUGUGGAUGACGGUACCGGCAUAAGAAGCACCGGCUAACUACGUGCCAGCCGCCGCAGUAA